This is a non-coding RNA of Pan troglodytes (chimpanzee), 148 nucleotides long. It matches the Rfam family "Metazoan signal recognition particle RNA". From Rfam's summary of the family: The signal recognition particle (SRP) is a universally conserved ribonucleoprotein. It is involved in the co-translational targeting of proteins to membranes. NCBI's taxonomy places the organism in Eukaryota, Metazoa, Chordata, Mammalia, Primates, Hominidae. The record is from Rfam.
GCCAGGCAUGGUGGUGGGUGCCUGUAAUCCCAGCUACUCGGGAGGCUGAGGCAGGAGAAUCGCUUGAGCCCAGGAGGCAGAGGUUGCAGUGAGCCAAGAUCAUGCCGCUGCACUCUAGCCUGGGCAACAGAGCAAGAUUCUGUCUCAA